RNAcentral lists this ribosomal RNA (435 nucleotides) under uncultured bacterium. Its description in RNAcentral is "partial 16S ribosomal RNA". It matches the Rfam family "Bacterial small subunit ribosomal RNA", at positions 29 to 507 of the family's 1533-position model. The record is from RNAcentral.
AGCGAACGCUGGCGGCAGGCUUAACACAUGCAAGUCGAGCGGGCACUUUCGGGUGUCAGCGGCGGACGGGUGAGUAACGCGUGGGAACGUGCCCUCUGGUUCGGAAUAACUCAGGGAAACUUGAGCUAAUACCGGAUACUCCCUUUUGGGGAAAGGCUUGCUGCCGGAGGAUCGGCCCGCGUCUGAUUAGCUAGUUGGUGAGGUAACGGCUCACCAAGGCGACGAUCAGUAGCUGGUCUGAGAGGAUGAUCAGCCACACUGGGACUGAGACACGGCCCAGACUCCUACGGGAGGCAGCAGUGGGGAAUAUUGGACAAUGGGCGCAAGCCUGAUCCAGCCAUGCCGCGUGAGUGAUGAAGGCCUUAGGGUUGUAAAGCUCUUUUAUCCGGGACGAUAAUGACGGUACCGGAGGAAUAAGCCCCGGCUAACUUCGUG